This 850-nucleotide long non-coding RNA is filed under the name Homo sapiens (human). RNAcentral's name for it is "HSALNT0121274". Lineage: Eukaryota; Metazoa; Chordata; Mammalia; Primates; Hominidae. The record is from RNAcentral.
UUUAUGUGUCAUGUUGACAAGGCCAUGGGUACCCAGUUAUGUGGUUAAACAUUAUUCUAGCCAUUUCUGUGAGGGGUUUUCUGAAUGAGAUUAACAUUUGAACCUGUGGACUGAGUAAAGCAGAGUGCCCUUGCUGAUGGGGUGGGCCUCAUCCAAUCCAUUGAGGAAGUGAAUAAAAUAAAGAGGCUGAGAAAGGGAAAAUUUGCUCUCUCUAUCUUGGAGCUGGACCACUGGUCUUCUUUUGCCCUCAGACUUGAACUUGGACUGGAACUUACACCAUCAGCUCUCCUGAUUCUCAGGCCUUUGGACUCAGUCUGGAACUCUACCAUCAGCUCUCCUGAUUCUCAGGCCUUUGGACUCAGUCUGGAACUCUACCAUCAGCUCUCCUGGGUCUCUUGCUGAAUACAGAUCUUGGGACUUCUCAGCCUUUGUAACUAUGAGGACCUGGGAGGACCGCAUUUUCUGGGAGAAGCCCUGGAAUACAAGAUUUGAUAUACUUAAAGGGAGCUCACAUUCCCAUCAACCUGGAGCAACUCACCUGGGAAUGUCUGAGUUGGCCUCAAAGUCUCAGCCAAAUUCGGACCUGUCUAAGGAAUGUGGAAGCUGAAACCACCUUCACCUGGAUCUUUGCCCCGUGGCAACAUCCUUGCCCUGUGAAUUGCUGCCUACAUAUAUGGAAGUUGAAGAGAGGAGACAUGUUUUAGCCAAACAGAUAACAUAAAUGAUUUUUAUUAUGGAAUUAAAUAAUUAUGUAGAUAUAUUAGAGCAAAGUUAUUUUAUCUGGAUUGUAUUUUGGCCUAUGUGUCCUAUUCAACAACAAUCUUUUUAAAAAAAUUUACAUCCUCCUGCA